Molecule: ribosomal RNA, 443 nt
Filed under: uncultured bacterium
Lineage: Bacteria
Description: partial 16S ribosomal RNA
Rfam family: Bacterial small subunit ribosomal RNA
Source: RNAcentral
CCUACGGGAGGCUGCAGUGGGGAAUAUUGGGCAAUGGGCGCAAGCCUGACCCAGCAACGCCGCGUGAAGGAAGAAGGCUUUCGGGUUGUAAACUUCUUUUCUCAGGGACGAAGCAAGUGACGGUACAUGAGGAAUAAGCCACGGCUAACUACGUGCCAGCCGCCGCGGUAAUACGUAGGGGGCAAGCGUUAUCCGGAUUUACUGGGUGUAAAGGGCGUGGAGGCGGGAAAGCAAGUCAGAUGUGAAAACCAUGGGCUCAACCUGUGGCCUGCAUUUGAAACUGUUUUUCUUGAGUACUGGAGAGGCAGACGGAAUUCCUAGUGUAGCGGUGAAAUGCGUAGAUAUUAGGAGGAACACCAGUGGCGAAGGCGGUCUGCUGGACAGCAACUGACGCUGAGGCGCGAAAGCGUGGGGAGCAAACAGGAUUAGAUACCCUGGUAGUC